GAUGAACGCUGGCGGCGUGCCUAAUACAUGCAAGUCGAGCGAACAGACGAGGAGCUUGCUCCUCUGACGGUAGCGACGGACGGGUGAGUAACACGUGGAUAACCUACCUAUAAGACUGGGAUAACUUCGGGAAACCGGAGCUAAUACCGGAUAAUAUAUUGAACCGCAUGGUUUAAUAGUGAAAGACGGUUUUGCUGUCACUUAUAGAUGGAUCCGCGCCGCAUUAGCUAGUUGGUAAGGUAACGGCUUACCAAGGCAACGAUGCGUAGCCGACCUGAGAGGGUGAUCGGCCACACUGGAACUGAGACACGGUCCAGACUCCUACGGGAGGCAGCAGUAGGGAAUCUUCCGCAAUGGGCGAAAGCCUGACGGAGCAACGCCGCGUGAGUGAUGAAGGUCUUCGGAUCGUAAAACUCUGUUAUUAGGGAAGAACAAAUGUGUAAGUAACUAUGCACGUCUUGACGGUACCUAAUCAGAAAGCCCCGGCUAACUACGUG
Molecule: ribosomal RNA, 497 nt
Filed under: uncultured bacterium
Lineage: Bacteria
Description: partial 16S ribosomal RNA
Rfam family: Bacterial small subunit ribosomal RNA
Source: RNAcentral